GCUACGCCCGGACGAAAUUCCCAGCUCGGCCGACAUUCGCGGGUCGGUGGGAUCUUCGUCCGUGUUUAUC
This 70-nucleotide microRNA precursor is filed under the name Danaus plexippus plexippus. RNAcentral describes it as "mir-278 microRNA precursor family". It matches the Rfam family "mir-278 microRNA precursor family". Lineage: Eukaryota; Metazoa; Arthropoda; Insecta; Lepidoptera; Nymphalidae. The record is from Rfam by way of RNAcentral.